AAAUGAAGCCAGAGUCUUACCCUACUCCUGAAAUCUAUGAUGCUGAGGCUGUUGACAAUGAUUCCAAAUCAAACUUACCUGAAGAAAGAGCAUCUAGUCCAGAGGAAAUGAGAAAGGAGUGUCUCCCUAACCAAGGUGAAGAAACAGAUCAGAAAUUAAAUGCCUCAGUCGAAUGGACUCGAAAAAAGGAAGCAGAACUAAACCAAUUGCUGGUGAGGAUGAUGGAAACCAAACCUACAAAAUAUCAGAACUUGGCACCUGGUGAUAGCAAACUCCAACGUCUUCCCAAUGAGCGUAGAGGUGGCUUCUAUGGUCAUUACAAAGAAAAGAGGGAUGAGAAACUUCGUGAUGGAACUACCAGGAAGCAAGCAGAGAAGGGAAAACAAUUUAAAGCACUGCA
This 400-nucleotide unclassified non-coding RNA is filed under the name Hevea brasiliensis (rubber tree). Lineage: Eukaryota; Viridiplantae; Streptophyta; Magnoliopsida; Malpighiales; Euphorbiaceae. The record is from RNAcentral.